GACAGAGGGUGCAAACGUUGUUCGGAAUUACUGGGCGUAAAGCGCGUGUAGGCGGCCCGGAAAGUCGGAUGUGAAAGCCCUGGGCUUAACCUAGGAAGUGCAUUCGAAACUCCCGGGCUUGAGUUCUGGAGAGGAAGGCGGAAUUCUCGGUGUAGAGGUGAAAUUCGUAGAUAUCGAGAGGAACACCGGUGGCGAAGGCGGCCAGCUGGGCCGUCCCUGACGCUGAGGCGCGAAGGCGUGGGUAGCAAACAGG
This 253-nucleotide ribosomal RNA is filed under the name uncultured bacterium. Its description in RNAcentral is "partial 16S ribosomal RNA". It matches the Rfam family "Bacterial small subunit ribosomal RNA", at positions 524 to 776 of the family's 1533-position model. The record is from RNAcentral.